CCUACGGGCGACAGCAGUGAGGAAUAUUGGUCAAUGGGCGAGAGUCUGAACCAGCCAAGUAGCGUGAAUGAUGACUGCCCUCUGGUUUUAAAACUUUUUUUGUAUGGGAAUAAAAUGUUCCACGUGUGGGAUUUUGUAUGUACCAUAUCAAUAAAGAUCGGCUAAAUCCGUGCUAGCAGCCGCGGUAAUACGGAGGAUCCGAGCGUUAUCCGGAUUUAUUGGGUUUAAAGGGAGCGUAGGUGGAGUGUUAAGUCAGUUGUGAAAGUCUGCGGCUCAACCGUGAAAUUGCAGUUGAAACUGGCAGGCUUGAGUACAGUAGAGGUGGGCGGAAUUCGUGGUGUAGCGGUGAAAUGCGUAGAGAUCACGAAGAACUCCGAUUGCGAAGGCAGCUCACUGGACUGCAACUGACACUGAGGCUCGAAAGUGUGGGUAUCAAACAGGAUUAGAUACCCGUGUAGUC
Molecule: ribosomal RNA, 460 nt
Filed under: uncultured bacterium
Lineage: Bacteria
Description: partial 16S ribosomal RNA
Rfam family: Bacterial small subunit ribosomal RNA
Source: RNAcentral